Astatotilapia calliptera (eastern happy) is the source of this 2246-nucleotide long non-coding RNA. NCBI's taxonomy places the organism in Eukaryota, Metazoa, Chordata, Actinopteri, Cichliformes, Cichlidae. The record is from Ensembl.
GUGAAAAUGACGAAUCUGCGGAUGCAACAUCUGGAGCACGGGGAGUGGAGUCUGUAAAUAAAUCUAACCACCAAAAACCAGUUAACGUGGAACACCCUGCGUGAAAACGGGGCAGAAACGUGGGGCAGGUCUGUAAAUGUAAAUAUGAAUUGUAACACUUUUCCCAUUUCCAUAAUCUGCUGAUAUGAUAUGAUUGGGCUGUUAAACCUACAGGGGAACUACGAACAUUAUGGUGUUGUACUAUCGAGUUGUCUUGCAUGAAGACCACAGAUAAGCGCCAUAAAUCAAACUCAUGUCAGGUCUAAUGGGUCGAAGUGCGUUUAAGUAUGAACGUUGACAUGUGCUUCAGUCAUCCGCAGUGACAUUAUUAAGUGCAGGUCGUGACAGAGAAGACAAACGUACUUUGGCAACAAAACGUCCAACGACAUUUUCACCCAGAGAAACUCAAGACUUUCAGUCUGCCUUGAAGCAUUCCAAGGGUGUAUAGUAUACCCAGAACAUGGUUGAGACACAUCUCUCGGCUGGCCUGGGAACAACUCAGCGUUUCUCCGGAUAAGCUGAAGAAGGUGGCUGGGGAGGGGGAAGUUUGUGCUCUCUGCUUAGGCUACUGUCCCCACAACUUGACCCUGACUAAGCAGAAGAGGAUGGAUGGACGAACAGAUGGAAAAAUAUUCUCUGCAAACUCCAGAGAAACCCGAGAGAUUGUUGUGUGGAAAAAUCCCAGUAAAUCCCAGUAGGAAAGAUAAAGCCAUAAAGAAUGUCUGAUAUAAAAUAUUACAUGUCACUGUCUGUGACUGUGGGUGUCAUGUUGGUGGGCCUGCUCUACUCCAUCUGUUUAGCCUGUCAGUGGAUUUAUGGUUGGCCUGACAAGCCUGGGUAUAAGAAGUACAUAGAAGCUCUUAAUCCAAGGCGAAUAUAUCGUCUGACCCUCACUACACUGGAUCUUCUCAAAUACCUGCAGUAUUGGAAAGUUUACUUUCAGCUGAAGUCAUGGUAUAACGAUGAGAGGAAUCUAAAGUAUUAUGAAAAGGGCAUCACGUUUGGCCGCAGAGGCAACAAGCUGGACUUAUACCACCCUCCAAAUGUAAGGAAGCUGCCAUCACCGGCGGUAGUAUUUGUCUACGGAGGUGCAUGGGGCACAGGAGAAAGGUCCACUUACUGUUUACUGGGGAGUCGGAUGGCUGAAGAACUGAAAGCAACUGUAAUUUGUCCUGAUUACUGCACAUAUCCAAAGGGGAAUGUUUUAGGGAUGGUCCAAGAUAUCACUGACUGCUUGAUUUGGGCCCACCAGAAUGGAGAGAAAUUCAACUUUGACAAAGAUAACAUUGUAUUAAUUGGGCAUUCAGCAGGUGCACAUUUGUGUACACUCACCACACUGUUUCUUGUUGAUACAAGAGAGGAGCUUUCCAUAGAGCCAGGCAAGCAGCAGGAAGUCUUGCUCUCGAUAAGAGGAAUUAUUGGUCUGAGCGGCGUCUACAACAUCGUGGACCAUUAUGAGCAUGAACAGAAACGAGGAGUUGAACGAGUGUCCCCCAUGCACAAAGCGAUGAAUGGUGUGGAAAACCUUCCAUACUACUCACCAACACACUUACUAAAGAAGCUCAGCCAGGACAAAGUCAACAGAUUGCCUCCAUUCGCUUUGCUCCAUGGGACCAAUGACAUUAUGGUUCCUGCUGAAUCUACCAUAAGAUUCUCUGAGCUUCUCACUUUGCGCUCUGUUAAGAUGUCAUUGAAUGUUCUUCAUGGAGUCGCCCACACUGAGACUGCUGUUGAUCUCAUGGUGUUAAACAGACGCCUCUACCGUCCAAUCUACAGAUACAUCAAAGAAGAGUUUAGAAAAUUUCUGGGUACCUGCUGACUGCAUGUGAUUAGAAAAGUAUUCACACAGCUCCAGUAUGUGCUGAAUUGUACUGUACUGUAAAUUAAAAUCAACCAUUUAAUUAUGAGUUUGACUUGAUUCUCUGAAGCUCUGAUUUUAUAAAACUAAUAUGAUAUUUUUAACAGUACUUUAAUUAUUUUGGAGAGAUGCUCUUUAUAGUGCUGUCAAAUAAGUAAUCACAAAGUGAAAUCAAUUAUAGAACAGUAGGGUUUAUUAGGAAGCUACACACAAUAUUCAAAUCCAGUUACAAAAUACCUAUUAUUGAAUUAAAUAUUACAUUCAAAUGUUAUCUUGUGUUAACAUGUCAUUACUUAUUAUUAUUGCUUCACUUGCAACCAAAAACAUCAUAAAUGUUUUAAGAUCUUCA